AGAGUUUGAUCAUGGCUCAGGAUGAACGCUAGCUACAGGCUUAACACAUGCAAGUCGAGGGGAAACGACAUCGAAAGCUUGCUUUUGAUGGGCGUCGACCGGCGCACGGGUGAGUAACGCGUAUCCAACCUGCCCAUCACUUGGGGAUAACCUUGCGAAAGUAAGACUAAUACCCAAUGACGUCUCUAGAAGACAUCUGAAAGAGAUUAAAGAUUUAUCGGUGAUGGAUGGGGAUGCGUCGUGAUUAGCUUGUUGGGCGGGGUAACGGCCACCAAGGCGACGAUCGAGUAGGGGUUCUGAGAGGAACGGUCCCCACAUUGGAACUGAGACACGGUCCAAACUCCUACGGGAGGCA
RNAcentral lists this ribosomal RNA (355 nucleotides) under uncultured bacterium. Its description in RNAcentral is "bacterial SSU rRNA". It matches the Rfam family "Bacterial small subunit ribosomal RNA", at positions 8 to 350 of the family's 1533-position model. The record is from RNAcentral.